This 490-nucleotide ribosomal RNA is filed under the name Rhodotorula mucilaginosa. Its description in RNAcentral is "LSU rRNA". It matches the Rfam family "Eukaryotic large subunit ribosomal RNA", at positions 104 to 590 of the family's 3401-position model. Lineage: Eukaryota; Fungi; Basidiomycota; Microbotryomycetes; Sporidiobolales; Sporidiobolaceae. The record is from RNAcentral.
AGAGCUCAAAUUUAUAAUCUGGCACCUUCGGUGUCCGAGUUGUAAUCUCUAGAAAUGUUUUCCGCGUUGGACCGCACACAAGUCUGUUGGAAUACAGCGGCAUAGUGGUGAGACCCCCGUAUAUGGUGCGGACGCCCAGCGCUUUGUGAUACAUUUUCGAAGAGUCGAGUUGUUUGGGAAUGCAGCUCAAAUUGGGUGGUAAAUUCCAUCUAAAGCUAAAUAUUGGCGAGAGACCGAUAGCGAACAAGUACCGUGAGGGAAAGAUGAAAAGCACUUUGGAAAGAGAGUUAACAGUACGUGAAAUUGUUGGAAGGGAAACGCUUGAAGUCAGACUUGCUUGCCGAGCAAUCGGUUUGCAGGCCAGCAUCAGUUUUCCGGGAUGGAUAAUGGUAGAGAGAAGGUAGCAGUUUCGGCUGUGUUAUAGCUCUCUGCUGGAUACAUCUUGGGGGACUGAGGAACGCAGUGUGCCUUUGGCGGGGGUUUCGACCUC